RNAcentral lists this ribosomal RNA (429 nucleotides) under Bacteroidota bacterium. RNAcentral's name for it is "Bacteroidetes bacterium partial 16S ribosomal RNA". It matches the Rfam family "Bacterial small subunit ribosomal RNA", at positions 355 to 776 of the family's 1533-position model. Lineage: Bacteria; Pseudomonadati; Bacteroidota. The record is from RNAcentral.
UAGGGAAUCUUCCGCAAUGGACGCAAGUCUGACGGAGCAACGCCGCGUGAGUGAAGAAGGAUUUCGGUUCGUAAAACUCUGUUGUUAGAGAAGAACAGCGCAUAGAGUAACUGUUAUGCGUGUGACGGUAUCUAACCAGAAAGCCACGGCUAACUACGUGCCAGCAGCCGCGGUAAUACGUAGGUGGCAAGCGUUGUCCGGAUUUAUUGGGCGUAAAGCGAGCGCAGGCGGUCAAUUAAGUCUGAUGUGAAAGCCCCCGGCUCAACCGGGGAGGGUCAUUGGAAACUGGUUGACGUGAGUGCAGAAGAGGAGAGGGGAAUUCCAUGUGGAGCGGUGAAAUGCGUAGAUAUAUGGAGGAACACCAGGGGCGAGGGCGACUCUCUGGUCUGUAACUGACGCUGAGGCUCGAAAGCGUGGGUAGCAAACAGG